CCUACGGGUGACAGCAGUGAGGAAUAUUGGUCAAUGGGCGCGAGCCUGAACCAGCCAAGUAGCGUGAAGGAUGACUGCCCUAUGGGUUGUAAACUUCUUUUAUAAAGGAGUAAAGUGAGGUACGUGUGUCUUUCUGAAAGUAUCUUAUGAAUAAGGAUCGGCUAACUCCGUGCCAGCAGCCGCGGUAAUACGGAGGAUUCAAGCGUUAUCCGGAUUUAUUGGGUUUAAAGGGAGCGUAGGUGGGUGGAUAAGUCAGUGGUGAAAUCUCGAGGCUCAACCGCGGAAUUGCAUGUGAUACUGGCAGGCUAGAGAGCAGUUGAGGUAGGCGGAAUGCGUGGUGUAGCGAUGAAAUGCUUAGAGAUCACGAAGAACACCGAUUGCGAAGGCAGCUUACCAAGCUACCACUGACGUUGAGGCACGAAAGCGUGGGUAUCAAACAGGAUUAGAUACCCGUGUAGUC
RNAcentral lists this ribosomal RNA (460 nucleotides) under uncultured bacterium. Its description in RNAcentral is "partial 16S ribosomal RNA". It matches the Rfam family "Bacterial small subunit ribosomal RNA", at positions 338 to 795 of the family's 1533-position model. The record is from RNAcentral.